Molecule: ribosomal RNA, 2055 nt
Filed under: Clostridioides difficile
Lineage: Bacteria; Bacillati; Bacillota; Clostridia; Peptostreptococcales; Peptostreptococcaceae
Description: partial 23S ribosomal RNA
Rfam family: Bacterial large subunit ribosomal RNA
Source: RNAcentral
GUUAAGUAGCAAGGUUAAGCACUUAAGGUGCGGAGCCGUAGCGAAAGCGAGUUUUAACUGAGCGUUCAGUUACUUGACGUAGACCCGAAACCGGGCGACCUACCCAUGAGCAGGAUGAAGCGAAAGUAAAAUUUCGUGGAGGUCCGAACCCACGAGCGUUGAAAAGCUCGGGGAUGACUUGUGGGUAGCGGUGAAAUUCCAAUCGAGCCCGGAGAUAGCUGGUUCUCCCCGAAAUAGCUUUAGGGCUAGCCUCAAGGUGAGAGAUACGGAGGUAGAGCACUGAAUGUCCUAGGGGGUAUUGCACCUACCGAAGACUAUCAAACUCCGAAUGCCGUCAUCUUAUACUUGGGAGUCAGACUGUGGGUGAUAAGAUUCAUAGUCGAAAGGGCAACAGCCCAGAUCGUCAGCUAAGGUCCCUAAAUGUAAGUUAAGUGGUAAAGGAUGUGGGAUUGCACAGACAACCAGGAUGUUGGCUUAGAAGCAGCCACUCAUUCAAAGAGUGCGUAAUAGCUCACUGGUCGAGUGAUCCUGCGCCGAAGAUUUCCGGGGCUAAAACUUACUACCGAAGCUACGGCAUCAGUAAUGAUGGGUAGGGGAGCUUCCCAUACGGGUUGAAGCAUGACCGUAAGGACAUGUGGACAGUAUGGGAGUGAGAAUGUUGGCAUGAGUAGCGAGAUGUGGGUGAGAAUCCCACAGGCCGUAAACCCAAGGUUUCCAGGGGAAGGUUCGUCCGCCCUGGGUUAGUCGGGACCUAAGCUGAGGCCGAAAGGCGUAGGUGAUGGACAACAGGUUGAUAUUCCUGUACUACCGAUAACCGUUUGAGAGAUGGGAUGACACAGUAGGAUAAGCUAAGCACACUGUUGGUUAUGUGUGCCCAAGCAUUGAGGCAGUCAAAGUAGGUAAAUCCGCUUUGAUAAUGCUGGGAUGUGAUGGGGAGCGAAAUUUAGUAGCGAAGUAGCUGAUUUCACACUGUCAAGAAAAGUCUCUAUCGAGGUUAAAGGUACCCGUACCGCAAACCGACACAGGUGGGUGAGGAGAGUAUCCUAAGGCCAGCGAGAGAACUGUUGUUAAGGAACUCGGCAAAAUGACCCCGUAACUUAGGGAUAAGGGGUGCCACCAUCAGGUGGCCGCAGAGAAUAGGCCCAAGCGACUGUUUACCAAAAACAUAGGUUUCUGCUAAGUCGCAAGACGAUGUAUAGGAGCUGACGCCUGCCCGGUGCUGGAAGGUUAAGGGGAUCUGUUAGAGCAAUCGAAGCAGUGAACUUAAGCCCCAGUAAACGGCGGCCGUAACUAUAACGGUCCUAAGGUAGCGAAAUUCCUUGUCGGGUAAGUUCCGACCCGCACGAAAGGCGUAACGAUUUGGGCACUGUCUCAACAACAGACUCGGUGAAAUUGUAAUUCCGGUGAAGAUGCCGGAUACCUGCGACAGGACGGAAAGACCCCAUGGAGCUUUACUGUAGCUUGACAUUGGGUCUUGGUACUACAUGUACAGGAUAGGUGGGAGGCUUUGAAACCAGGACGCCAGUUUUGGCGGAGCCAUCCUUGGGAUACCACCCUUGUAGUACUGGGACUCUAACCAUAGGCCAUGAAUCUGGUCUUGGGACACUGUCAGGUGGGCAGUUUGACUGGGGCGGUCGCCUCCCAAAAGGUAACGGAGGCGCUCAAAGGUUCUCUCAGUACGGUCGGAAAUCGUACGUAGAGUGUAAAGGCAAAAGAGAGCUUGAUUGCAAGACAUACAGGUCGAGCAAGGAUGAAAAUCGGACUUAGUGAUCCGGUGGUUCUGCGUGGAAGGGCCAUCGCUCAACGGAUAAAAGCUACCCUGGGGAUAACAGGCUUAUCUCCCCCAAGAGUCCACAUCGACGGGGAGGUUUGGCACCUCGAUGUCGGCUCAUCACAUCCUGGGGCUGUAGUAGGUCCCAAGGGUUGGGCUGUUCGCCCAUUAAAGUGGUACGCGAGCUGGGUUCAGAACGUCGUGAGACAGUUCGGUCCCUAUCCGUCGCAGGCGUAGGAAAUUUGAGAAGACCUGUCCUUAGUACGAGAGGACCGGGAUGGACG